CCUACUGCUAUCGGGAUGAGACUAAAACAUGCUAGUUGUGCGCACCCAAGCUAUGUUGGGAGCGCAGCGAACGGCUCCGUAACACGUAGUCAAUCUAACCUUAGGAUGGGAAUAACCCCGGGAAACUGGGGCUAAUACCUGAUAGGCGAAAAAAUCUGGAAUGACUUUUCACUCAAAGAGUUUUGGGAACAUGCUCCUUUGACUGCCUAAGGAUGAGACUGCGACCGAUCAGGUUGUUGGUGGGGUAACGGCCUACCAAGCCUAUAACCGGUACGGGCCCUGAGAGGGGGUGCCCGGAGAUGGGAACUGAGACAAGGUCCCAGACCCUACGGGGUGCAGCAGUUGCGAAAACUCUACAAUGCACGAAAGUGUGAUAGGGUUAUCCCGAGUGCCGUCCGAUGAGGAUGGCUUUUACCUGGUGUAAGGAGCCAGGGGAAUAAAGGGGGGGCAAGACUGGUGUCAGCCGCCGCGGUAAUACCAGCCCCCUGAGUGGUAGGGAUGAUUAUUUGGCCUAAAGCGUCCGUAGCCGGCUUAGCAAGUCUUUCGUUAAAUCCAGUGACUUAAUCAUUGGGCUGCGAGAGAUACUACUAGGCUUGAGGACGG
Molecule: ribosomal RNA, 603 nt
Filed under: uncultured crenarchaeote
Lineage: Archaea; Thermoproteati; Thermoproteota
Description: bacterial SSU rRNA
Rfam family: Archaeal small subunit ribosomal RNA
Source: RNAcentral